GCUUAGCUGUCUCCUCUUUCAAGUCAAUGAAAUUGAUCUGCCCGUGCAGAAGCGGACAUAAGCACAUAAGACGAGAAGACCCUAUGGAGCUUUAGACACCAGGCAGAUCACGUCAAACAACCUUGAAUUAACAAGUAAAAACGCAGUGACCCCUAGCCCAUAUGUCUUUGGUUGGGGCGACCGCGGGGGAAAAUUAAGCCCCCAUGUGGACUGGGGGCACUGCCCCCACAGCCAAGAGCCACAGCUCUAAGCACCAGAAUAUCUGACCAAAAAUGAUCCGGCAAACGCCGAUCAACGGACCGAGUUACCCUAGGGAUAA
Molecule: ribosomal RNA, 319 nt
Filed under: Oncorhynchus tshawytscha (Chinook salmon)
Lineage: Eukaryota; Metazoa; Chordata; Actinopteri; Salmoniformes; Salmonidae
Description: partial 16S ribosomal RNA
Rfam family: Bacterial large subunit ribosomal RNA
Source: RNAcentral